Equus quagga is the source of this 668-nucleotide long non-coding RNA. RefSeq lists it as uncharacterized. The transcript has 3 exons. NCBI's taxonomy places the organism in Eukaryota, Metazoa, Chordata, Mammalia, Perissodactyla, Equidae. The record is from RefSeq and is a predicted model, not a curated record.
CGACCCCCAUUAGGUUAAAGUACACAGAGCGUAAGCGAGAGAUCCCUCCGCCACAGCCAUUCUUUCCAUUUGUUGCCUCACGGUAUGCAAAAAAGUCCCGCGAAAUCGGUUAUCAACUUUAGGGCCCAGAGGAAAACUGCAGUGGUGCACAGAUAAGACUGAAUGGCGAACGCCAGGGCUGGAAGUGCCUAUUGGAUUGCUCUUCAAGUGCGUAGGCUGUCGACCGAAGAUGAGCCUUCCACUUGGCGGAAGAAUCUCACAGGAAAGGGGGUCCAUUUUCAGCAUAAUGGAUAUGACCAGGCGUGGCUGAGAGGAACCAGAGAUACCAGGCAGACCUGUGAGAUCAGCAAAUGUGCCAGGCCAACUUAGUAGAUUUCACAUGCUCCUGGGCACUACUCAACAGAUUGAAAAAAUAACAAUAAGAGAAACCAAUGACCCUCCCGAAAUGAAUGCCUCUCUGGCCGUAGAGAGCUCGCUGUGCAUCAGCUGAGGCCCGUGGAUUUAACAGACUCCGAGCUUGGGACGCGGCGUGUCGGGAGGAAGCCCGGAAGGAGGCAGUACCGGAACUACAUAUGGAGGCGAGUGGUGCGAGCGCACGAGGGAUUAUUUUGUGCUGAUGUUCACGUUCUUGGUUCUUAUGCUCCUGAAAACAAUGCCUUCAGCGUGCA